UACGGGGGGAGCAAGCGUUGUUCGGAUUUACUGGGCGUAAAGCGCACGUAGGCGGGUCGUUAAGUCAGGGGUGAAAUCCCGGAGCUCAACUCCGGAACUGCCUUUGAUACUGGCGACCUUGAGGCUGGAAGAGGUUAGUGGAAUUCCCAGUGUAGAGGUGAAAUUCGUAGAUAUUGGGAAGAACACCAGUGGCGAAGGCGGCUAACUGGUCCAGAUCUGACGCUGAGGUGCGAAAGCGUGGGGAGCAAACAGG
Molecule: ribosomal RNA, 253 nt
Filed under: uncultured bacterium
Lineage: Bacteria
Description: partial 16S ribosomal RNA
Rfam family: Bacterial small subunit ribosomal RNA
Source: RNAcentral